This 200-nucleotide unclassified non-coding RNA is filed under the name Hevea brasiliensis (rubber tree). The record is from RNAcentral. Lineage: Eukaryota; Viridiplantae; Streptophyta; Magnoliopsida; Malpighiales; Euphorbiaceae.
UCGGCGGCUUGGUGAAGCGUUUCCUUCCACCACCUCAUCGAAUUGCGGCCCUCAUUGAUCAUAUCAGCAUCGAUGGAUAUCGGCGCGCUCGGCGGCAGCGCUGCGUCGGUCGCUGCUAUGGAGAUGAUCCUGGCGUNNNGCCGGAAGAUGGAGACGCAUAUCGAGUGCGAAGGCUUCCUGAAUGUGCUGCUGGUAUGCGC